CAGGUCUUGACAUCCCUUGACAACUCCAGAGAUGGAGCGUUCCCUUCGGGGACAAGGUGACAGGUGGUGCAUGGUUGUCGUCAGCUCGUGUCGUGAGAUGUUGGGUUAAGUCCCGCAACGAGCGCAACCCUUAUUACUAGUUGCCAGCAUUUAGUUGGGCACUCUAGUGAGACUGCCGGUGACAAACCGGAGGAAGGUGGGGAUGACGUCAAAUCAUCAUGCCCCUUAUGACCUGGGCUACACACGUGCUACAAUGGCGUAUACAACGAGUUGCCAACCCGCGAGGGUGAGCUAAUCUCUUAAAGUACGUCUCAGUUCGGAUUGUAGGCUGCAACUCGCCUACAUGAAGUCGGAAUCGCUAGUAAUCGCGGAUCAGCACGCCGCGGUGAAUACGUUCCC
RNAcentral lists this ribosomal RNA (399 nucleotides) under uncultured bacterium. RNAcentral describes it as "bacterial SSU rRNA". It matches the Rfam family "Bacterial small subunit ribosomal RNA", at positions 975 to 1375 of the family's 1533-position model. The record is from RNAcentral.